AAGCUGAACGAUGUAAUUCCAUCCCCAGGCUGAAACACAUUAGCGCGUUUGGCAAGUGCUCUAUCAGAGGGCGAUCAGACUGAGGCUCGUGCAUGAGGGGAUAGCAUGCUUUUACUUUCACUCUCUUUGUAUUAAAAAACAAUUUCCCGGUCGGAAUAUUAUCGCUUUUUUACGAGAAAAGUGGCAUAAAAAUUGAUUUUAAACAGCGGUUGACAUGCUUCGAAGUACGGUAAUGGAAUAUUUAGAUUUUUUUUGUCACGAAACGCGUCGUGCUCGUCACCCUUAUUAACCCUUUCGGAUAGUGUCUUGAACGCACGAACAAAACGCCGCUAUUUGGAUAUAACGAUGGAUUAUUUGGGACCAAACCAACAUUUGUUAUUGAAGUAGAAGUCCUGGGAGUGCAUUCUGACGAAGAACAGCAAAGGACUCUCUAACACACCCCAAUCAACCUGGCUCUGAUGAUUUAGCCCGUAAUGAUGCCCCUGAGAUGAACCCACUGACACACCCCAAUCAACCCGGCUCUGAUGAUUUAGACUAUGAUGAUGCCCCUGAGAUGGACCCCCUGACACACCCCAGUCAACCUGGCUCUGAUGAUUCAGACCGUGAUGAUGCCCCUGAGAUGAACAAAGAAAGGAUUUACCCUGGGGCAUCAGUAACAAAGGGGCAAUGUCUUAUGGCAAUAAUGCUCUUUGUUCUGUGUCAUCACCUGACUGGAACUGCCCUGAUAGACCUACUUGCUUUGCUGAAUUUGCUUGUCCCCAACUUGGUUCCAACAUCUAAAUAUCUCUUCAAAAAGUUUUUGGGUAAUACUGCCCUGACAGCUGUCUCUCAUUUCUUUUGUGAUGAAUGCCAAAAUGCCAACCGGAGACACAAAUUGCUCACAUUGUGGAACUUCCUUCAUCAGAGAAACAAAACGUUUAUUUUUGUCAAUACCUUUGAGGGACCUUCUGCGAGAUACACUGGAGAACCAUGGAAUAGAUAUUUUGAGGAAAACAAUGAAGGAAGAAGAAUAUGAAAUUGAGGAUGUCAUGGAUGGAAAGAUGUACCAGACAUUACUGAAAGAGAAUAGGCUAUCUGCUGAUGAUUUAACAUUAACCUGGAUCUGUGAUGGAGUAUCCAUUUUUAACUCCUCAAAUUACUCAAUUUGGCCCCUUCAAUUUACCAUAAAUUAACUGCCUUACAUACAUCAGAAAGAAAAUGUGAUGGUUGCAGGACUUUGGUUUGGCCCAGAAAAACCCAGAAUGAAUAGCUUUUUAAAAACUUUUAUUGCUGAAUGUUGCGAUUUAGCCCAAAACCCAUUACUUUGGAGAGAUAACAGUGAGAUUCUGAAGAGGAGAAAGGUCUUCUCCAUGAUUUGUUCCUCAGAUGCAAUUGCCAGGCCAAUCCUUCAUUACUGUAAGCAAUUCAAUGGUGAAUAUGGUUGUGACUGGGGCUUGCACCCUGGUAAAGUUGUCCCCAAAGGCAGAGGAUAUGUAAGAUCCUAUCCUUACAGUCAACAACUGCAAAUUGAAAAAUCACACAAUCAAUUUAAGAAUAAUGCAUUUCACACUGCUCACACUCACAUCCUGCAAAAUGGUGUAAAGGAGUUGUCAACACUGUUUUUGCUUCCAUUGUUCUACAUUGUGUUUGGUUUUGUGGCAGACUCCAUGCAUUCUUGUUCUCCUCUGCAUAACUCGACAACAGUCUCUUUGAUUGGAAACGUGCAACUGUUUGAAUCUAUGGUACAUAGGUCGACUGCUAAAUCUCAAGACACCAAAGGAAAUCACAAGAAUAUUACGAUCAUUGCAUAUAAGAACAUUUUGGAAAGCAUCUGAGUGUUGUGCAUUUCUUCUGUUUUAUUCAAUCACUGUUCUGCCUGGCAUCCUCCUUCUGCCUUCAUUUGUACAAAAAAAAAUUCUACUGAAAUUCAGCAUGCAUAUUUUGCUUCAAGGAUCUAUUUCACAGCGUUACUUUAGAUUAGCUCACAUUUCUUUAGUCCUCUGUCAAGAAAAAUGAAGAAUUAUAUGGACAAACAUUUUUUUCUUUCAAUUGCCAUCAGCUAAUCCACCUUACUGAUUGUGUACUGAACUUGGGGCUUCUCUGGGCAACGUCAUGUUUUACAUUUGAGGGUAACAAUGGAAGUUUGAAAUCUCUUUUCCAUGGGACGCAGUGUGUUCCACAACAAAUUUGCCAGCUUUUCCUUCUUUGGCGAGACAUUCCCAAACAUCUUAGUAUUUUAGGAUUUCACCCAGAGUCAGAGUUCGGUAUAUUCCUUACAAAGCUUGCAGACAGAAGACUUAAAGGAGAAAAAAUCUCAGGCUCCCUCAAAACUCUUGGAAAAUCUGUACCUCUUCACCUCACAGCUUCUGUAAAACUUGCUGUAGAAUAACUAAUUACUGGAUCUGUCCCGUCCCAGCCUGUGGAGUACGGCCAAUUCAUUUAUGAACAGGUUGUUUAUCACACAACUUACUACAAAAUCUCAGAAAAAAGGGAUAACACCUCAGUCGUGUUCAAAAAUGGAUGUUGUGCACAACUGCUGUUGUUUUUCUUUGUUAGACUUAAUUGCUUUUGUCAAACAAAUUGCUUAUGUCAACCUAUUCCUAUUGUUGUGGUUCAACCAUAUGUAAUUCAAGCUGACAGUUUGUUCAUCAAAAAUAAUCUAGGCAUCUCAUCAAAUGUGUGUGAAAGUUGAGGUAGAGACAAAAAAAAUAGAUAUCAAGUGUAAAUGUAUUUAUGUGGAUGGCUGGCUUGUCCCUCUGCCAAACACUUAUGAGAGAUAUUAGUUAUGGGUGUUUUUUAGAGAGCUGGUAGAUGUUAUUGAGCUGAUUGAUAAUGAGAGCUGACUCCCAUUUGCAAUGGUGACCUGGCCAAGAAAAGCAUCAACAUACUUUAAUUCAGGUCCGUCCAGUGUGAGGAUAUGUUAGGGACUUGCAGCUCUGUCGGGUUCACCUUGGGGUCAUGAUAGGGGCUGUACCAAAUGUUUGAUGUAUUAUAAUAAUUGAUUAUGCUUAUGUUGUAUUAAUAGAAGGGGAAGGGUUAUAAGACCCCUCCCCCUUACAUGUAUAGGGUCCUAGACUACAGAUGAACAAUGUAUAUAUUCAUUAUAAGGUUUAAUAUUGUUCCACAGUCUUUUCUAGUCUCUGCCUCUUAUAAAGAAAUGGUCUGAGAGAUGUCUGACUGAGAAAGAACCCUGCAGGGGAGUGAAAGAGAUGAAAGACUAGUCAGACAUUCCACUAUAAAUCAACUUGGGGAGUGGACAUUUACUGCUGAGCCUUUAGAUAACACUGAAACUCUUGUUUGCAUAGCUGUGUAGGUAUGGGCUUGGUCUCAUGAAUAGAAGGUAAUGAUGUAGGCAGUGACAUCACUAAGGCUGGACUUCAGGCUUAAUAAAAUAACUUGGACACUACUAUUUUGCAGAAUUUACUCGGAAACAUGGGUGCUAUGUUCCUGUUCUGUCUGCAAUUGCAUUAAUAAAGGUUUUGAUUGAUUUAAUUAAAGAUAUUGUCUGAAUGCUAAUUUCACCAAUGAGCCAAUGAUUGACAAGGAACAAGGAACGAAUCCCAACAGCUCCCAGUUAAAACGCAUGCAUUUAGAGUCACUGGAAUUGAGCAAUAGUUGGAGAUCACUAAAUGUGUGUUGUAUGUCAUUUAAUUUGUGUGAUUCUAAAAGUAUCACUCAUUGAUAACUUAUCAGGGACAUACAUCAGUGAUGCAAGGGC
Molecule: long non-coding RNA, 3697 nt
Filed under: Salmo salar (Atlantic salmon)
Lineage: Eukaryota; Metazoa; Chordata; Actinopteri; Salmoniformes; Salmonidae
Description: lncRNA (ENSSSAG00000100518.1)
Source: RNAcentral